AGGAGUGUAGCUCAGUUGGUAGAGCAGCGGUCUCCAAAACCGCCGGUCCGGGGUUCGAAUCCUCGCACUCCUG
RNAcentral lists this transfer RNA (73 nucleotides) under Dehalococcoidales bacterium. RNAcentral's name for it is "tRNA-Trp". It matches the Rfam family "tRNA". Rfam says of the family: Transfer RNA (tRNA) molecules are approximately 80 nucleotides in length. Their secondary structure includes four short double-helical elements and three loops (D, anti-codon, and T loops). Lineage: Bacteria; Bacillati; Chloroflexota; Dehalococcoidia; Dehalococcoidales. The record is from RNAcentral.